GCUAGUCAGGUGUAGAUAAGAGAGCCGCGCUCCAUCUGUCGUAGCGGCGUGAUGCAUGUAAAGGUCAUGAAUGUUUCUUUGCCUUACGAUUCAACACUGAUCUGAGGAGGGAAUGCUGCAAAAUGCGUUCCAAAAGCGAGACAAGGUGAUGCCUAAUAGUAGGUCGGAAAUAAAGAUGCAUGCAUGAGCAUGAGUCUCGCAUGCAUGCUAUCUGCUUGUACUGCAGCCAAACCAGGAAAAGAAAAGCUCCUGCCUGGGCGCCUAGCAGCUAGCUUGCUUACAGAUCGUCAACUUGUUUCAAAAAUAAAUAAAAAAAUAAAGUUGUUCUGCUUAAGUACUACCCCAA
RNAcentral lists this long non-coding RNA (346 nucleotides) under Sorghum bicolor (sorghum). RNAcentral's name for it is "long non-coding RNA (SBIC_LNC001888)". The record is from RNAcentral. Lineage: Eukaryota; Viridiplantae; Streptophyta; Magnoliopsida; Poales; Poaceae.